UACGUAGGGAGCAAGCGUUGUCCGGAAUCAUUGGGCGUAAAGCGCGCGUAGGUGGCCUCAUAAGUCCGCUGUGAAAGUCAAAGGCUCAACCUUUGAAAGCCGGUGGAUACUGUGAGGCUAGAGUACGGAAGAGGCGAGUGGAAUUCCUGGUGUAGCGGUGGAAUGCGCAGAUAUCAGGAGGAACACCAAUAGCAAAGGCAGCUCGCUGGAACGUUACUGACACUGAGGCGCGAAAGCGUGGGGAGCGAACAGG
Molecule: ribosomal RNA, 253 nt
Filed under: uncultured bacterium
Lineage: Bacteria
Description: partial 16S ribosomal RNA
Rfam family: Bacterial small subunit ribosomal RNA
Source: RNAcentral